This 829-nucleotide ribosomal RNA is filed under the name uncultured bacterium. RNAcentral's name for it is "bacterial SSU rRNA". It matches the Rfam family "Bacterial small subunit ribosomal RNA", at positions 60 to 887 of the family's 1533-position model. The record is from RNAcentral.
AGUCGAACGGUAACAGGUCUUCGGAUGCUGACGAGUGGCGAACGGGUGAGUAAUACAUCGGAACGUGCCCGAUCGUGGGGGAUAACGAGGCGAAAGCUUUGCUAAUACCGCAUACGAUCUACGGAUGAAAGCGGGGGAUCUUCGGACCUCGCGCGGACGGAGCGGCCGAUGGCAGAUUAGGUAGUUGGUGGGAUAAAAGCUUACCAAGCCGACGAUCUGUAGCUGGUCUGAGAGGAUGAUCAGCCACACUGGGACUGAGACACGGCCCAGACUCCUACGGGAGGCAGCAGUGGGGAAUUUUGGACAAUGGGCGAAAGCCUGAUCCAGCCAUGCCGCGUGCAGGAUGAAGGCCUUCGGGUUGUAAACUGCUUUUGUACGGAACGAAAAGCCUCUUUCUAAUAAAGAGGGGUCAUGACGGUACCGUAAGAAUAAGCACCGGCUAACUACGUGCCAGCAGCCGCGGUAAUACGUAGGGUGCAAGCGUUAAUCGGAAUUACUGGGCGUAAAGCGUGCGCAGGCGGUUUUGUAAGACAGAGGUGAAAUCCCCGGGCUCAACCUGGGAACUGCCUUUGUGACUGCAAGGCUGGAGUGCGGCAGAGGGGGAUGGAAUUCCGCGUGUAGCAGUGAAAUGCGUAGAUAUGCGGAGGAACACCGAUGGCGAAGGCAAUCCCCUGGGCCUGCACUGACGCUCAUGCACGAAAGCGUGGGAAGCAAACAGGAUUAGAUACCCUGGUAGUCCACGCCCUAAACGAUGUCAACUGGUUGUUGGGUCUUCACUGACUCAGUAACGAAGCUAACGCGUGAAGUUGACCGCCUGGGGAGUACGGCC